RNAcentral lists this unclassified non-coding RNA (1024 nucleotides) under Hevea brasiliensis (rubber tree). The record is from RNAcentral. Lineage: Eukaryota; Viridiplantae; Streptophyta; Magnoliopsida; Malpighiales; Euphorbiaceae.
AUUGUUUCUUCUAAAACUCAAACUCGUCAAGUUUGAGAAGCCUGUAGAUUUUUCUAAAAGAUAAAUAUUACAAAAACUAAUCCCAAUUAUGACUGCAUGCUUAAUCCCAUAAUUUGAGAAAAAUGAAGGGUAAAAAAGAUUCAAACAGAGAAAAGGGGAAAAAAAAUAAAGAACAGGGAAGUGCAAUAAAGAGUUACAUACAUGAAAAGAUAAAUAUAUUAAUGAACAAGAGUAAGCACAAGUAAGUACAACAGUAUCCCAAUUAGGGGUGGUUAGAGUUGAAGGAGGAAGAAAUUGAACUUUAUUAUUUCUGAUGAUUAUUAGGCAUAUGGUAGACACGUGGUGUCAAAAUCGCAUAAUAUAACACACAACAUGGGCAAAACUCAUCAAAACAAACAAACAGCAACAGAUUAAUACUUUUAGAACUCUCCUCAUGCCAUAUCUUGAUGCUUAAACUUGAUAAAAUUCAAAUGAAGGUCCAACCAUCCACAUGCCUAAGAAGUAUAAUUUUCCUAGAUUAAUAGAAUAAAGAAUUCUAUUCAUGCAUAAACUACUUCCCAUCAAGUGAAGGUCUAAAAGAAGUCAGAUGAGAAGCAACCAAACAAUCUAAAGUUGCUUUCAAGUUUAAAGUGGUUUGGGAGCAUUAGACAAUAAAAAGGCUUAAAUAAGCCCACAAAAUUAUAAAUAUACCCCGAUAAUGGUAAACAAAAAUAGAAAUAUGAGUGUUGUUAAGCAGUUACAAUUGGCUUCCCUCUGAAGCAUGGAGGUCAACUGGCUAAAAGAAAUCGAGAAUGUAGGCAAGAUAAAGGACUCUCCUUUAUUCUAAUUGGCUUAGGUCCAGAGUAGCAUUGCAUUCAGAUCACAAUCAACAUGUUUUGCUACUUUCCUCUUCCUUUUAUUAUCUUAUUGCUUUAUAUUACUCAGUCCUACCUUUGUCCUACACCAUUUUCUACAAAGUUCAGAAAAAUAUCAUCAUAAAACAACAUAAUUGUGGAAUAGAAGGGCAGAAAAAAAGGAGUUUUUU